This 299-nucleotide unclassified non-coding RNA is filed under the name uncultured Pleosporales. RNAcentral's name for it is "sequence contains ITS1". The stretch from base 1 to 105 matches the Rfam family "5.8S ribosomal RNA", at positions 50 to 154 of the family's 154-position model. Lineage: Eukaryota; Fungi; Ascomycota; Dothideomycetes; Pleosporales. The record is from RNAcentral.
GAAAUGCGAUAAGUAGUGUGAAUUGCAGAAUUCAGUGAAUCAUCGAAUCUUUGAACGCACAUUGCGCCCUUUGGUAUUCCAUAGGGCAUGCCUGUUCGAGCGUCGUCUCAAACCUUCAAGCCUAGCUUGGUGUUGGGUGACUGUCCCGCCUUAUGGCGCGGACUCGCCUCAAAGUCAUUGGCAGCAGACUCGGUAGCUAAUUGCGCAGCACAUCGCGCCGGAAGCUCCCCGUCCGCUAUCCACGAGCACAGUCUCAUCAGUUUGACCUCGGAUCAGGUAGGGAUACCCGCUGAACUUAA